CCUACGGGACGCAGCAGUGGGGAAUAUUGCACAAUGGGCGCAAGCCUGAUGCAGCAACGCCGCGUGAGCGAAGAAGUAUUUCGGUAUGUAAAGCUCUAUCAGCAGGGAAGAAAAUGACGGUACCUGACUAAGAAGCUCCGGCUAAAUACGUGCCAGCAGCCGCGGUAAUACGUAUGGAGCAAGCGUUAUCCGGAAUUACUGGGUGUAAAGGGAGCGUAGACGGAUGUGCAAGUCUGAUGUGAAAGCCUUCGGCUUAACCGGAGUAGUGCAUUGGAAACUGGGAGACUUGAGUGCAGAAGAGGAGA
RNAcentral lists this ribosomal RNA (305 nucleotides) under uncultured bacterium. RNAcentral's name for it is "bacterial SSU rRNA". It matches the Rfam family "Bacterial small subunit ribosomal RNA", at positions 338 to 660 of the family's 1533-position model. The record is from RNAcentral.